RNAcentral lists this long non-coding RNA (334 nucleotides) under Calidris pugnax (ruff). Its description in RNAcentral is "lncRNA (ENSCPUG00000006574.1)". Lineage: Eukaryota; Metazoa; Chordata; Aves; Charadriiformes; Scolopacidae. The record is from RNAcentral.
AGAUAAGUCUUAGCCUCCUGCUGUGUCUCAGUUUCCCCUCCUGUGCCCCAGGGACGUUCUGCCUGGCUGCUGCUGUGCGAGCGGCGCAGUGUGCACGUGGGAUGGUUGGGCUGGCUGAGAGCUAGGUGACCCAAGGAAGUCUACCUGCAGCUAUCUGCAAGGCUUGGUGCCGCGGCAGAGUCAGCGAAAGAACUAAACUGGAACUCCAUCAGCUCGAGGGAAUACGAUCUCCAGUCCCAGCCAACUGAGCCCUGAGAAAAACAAUGUUAAUGCUUUGACGCCUAGUCAGUGGUGUAUAGCUGGUGGUAGUCGGUGGAUGAAAAUAACGUUUGAU